UCUCAUUCUAAAAAUAUAUAUUUUAUAUAAAAUAAAUUAUUCAUGUUAAACAUAUUGUGUAAAUAUGUUAACUUCAUAUGACAUGUUUAAUAAUCAUGUUAAACAGAUAACACGUUUAAUAAAUAGAUUCGUGAAUAUAUUAGAAAAUCUUGAUAUGUUUAUUAAUUAUGUCGUGUUCAUAUUCUCCAUAAUUAUAUUCGUGUCAAAAUCGUGUCGAUACGAUUAUAGCACGUGAACAUAAAUUACCAUCCCUAGGUUUUAUACGAGAG
RNAcentral lists this long non-coding RNA (269 nucleotides) under Elaeis guineensis (African oil palm). RNAcentral's name for it is "long non-coding RNA (EGUI_LNC023574)". The record is from RNAcentral. Lineage: Eukaryota; Viridiplantae; Streptophyta; Magnoliopsida; Arecales; Arecaceae.